GACGAACGCUGGCGGCGUGCUUAACACAUGCAAGUCGAACGGACAGACAGAGAGCUUGCUCUCUUGAAGUUAGUGGCGAACGGGUGAGUAACGCGUAAUCAACCUGCCCUUCAGAGGGGGAUAACAACGGGAAACCGUUGCUAAUACCGCGUACGAUUCAUGAACGGCAUCGUUUAUGAAUGAAAGGUGGCCUCUAUGUAUAAGCUAUCGCUGAAGGCGGGGAUUGCGUCUGAUUAGCUAGUUGGAGGGGUAACGGCCCACCAAGUCAAUGAUCAGUAGCCGGGCGAGGAGGAUGAACGGCCACGUUGGGACUGAGACACGGCCCAAACUCCUACGGGAGGCAGCAGUGGGGAAUCGUCCGCAAUGGACGAAGGUCUGACGGAGCAACGCCGCGUGAGUGAUGAAGGUCUUCGGAUUGUAAAGCUCUGUUAAUCGGGACGAAAGAGUUCUGCGUGAAUAAUGCAGAAAAGUGACGGUACCGGAAUAGAAAGCCACGGCUAACUACGUGCCAGCCGCCGCAGUAA
This 524-nucleotide ribosomal RNA is filed under the name uncultured bacterium. RNAcentral's name for it is "partial 16S ribosomal RNA". It matches the Rfam family "Bacterial small subunit ribosomal RNA", at positions 28 to 523 of the family's 1533-position model. The record is from RNAcentral.